Molecule: transfer RNA, 86 nt
Filed under: Tongtianella jiaweipingae
Lineage: Bacteria; Bacillati; Actinomycetota; Actinomycetes; Actinomycetales; Actinomycetaceae
Description: Actinomyces sp. zg-332 tRNA-Leu
Rfam family: tRNA
About the family: Transfer RNA (tRNA) molecules are approximately 80 nucleotides in length. Their secondary structure includes four short double-helical elements and three loops (D, anti-codon, and T loops).
Source: RNAcentral
GUCCGGGUGGCGGAAUGGUAGACGCGCUAGCUUGAGGUGCUAGUGACCGCUUUUAGGUCGUGGGGGUUCAAGUCCCCUCUCGGACA